AACUCUCAAAACGCCCCCAAAUUCUUGGGGGUGUUUUGGACUUUGGGAGUGUUUUGCUGGUCUGCUUGAGCCAGCUCUCCUCAAAAGUGUUAGCUCUGGGAGACUGUCAGCGUGAUAACUUUGUUUAUGCUGAGUCUCUGAUGUUGUGUGCCCA
This 154-nucleotide unclassified non-coding RNA is filed under the name uncultured Amanita. RNAcentral describes it as "sequence contains ITS2". Lineage: Eukaryota; Fungi; Basidiomycota; Agaricomycetes; Agaricales; Amanitaceae. The record is from RNAcentral.